UACGGAGGGGGCGAGCGUUAUUCGGAAUUAUUGGGCGUAAAGGGCGCGUAGGCGGCCUUGUAAGUCAAAGGUGAAAUCCCUCGGCUCAACUGAGGAACUGCCUUUGAAACUGCAAGGCUUGAGGCCGGGAGGGGGUAGCGGAAUUCCCAAUGUAGCGGUGAAAUGCGCAGAUAUCAGGAGGAACACCGGUGGCGAAGGCGGAUCUCUGGGCCUGAUCUGACGCUGGAGGCGCGAAAGCUAGGGGAGCGAACAGG
RNAcentral lists this ribosomal RNA (254 nucleotides) under uncultured bacterium. RNAcentral's name for it is "partial 16S ribosomal RNA". It matches the Rfam family "Bacterial small subunit ribosomal RNA", at positions 524 to 776 of the family's 1533-position model. The record is from RNAcentral.